Dermacentor andersoni is the source of this 103-nucleotide small nuclear RNA. NCBI's taxonomy places the organism in Eukaryota, Metazoa, Arthropoda, Arachnida, Ixodida, Ixodidae. The record is from RefSeq and is a predicted model, not a curated record.
GUACUUCCAAAUUACACAUACUAAAAUUACUAUAAUACAAAGAAGGUCAAUAUGGCCCCUGCGCAAGGAUGACACGUAGAAUCGUGAAGCUUUCCUCAUAUUU